RNAcentral lists this ribosomal RNA (245 nucleotides) under uncultured bacterium. RNAcentral describes it as "partial 16S ribosomal RNA". It matches the Rfam family "Bacterial small subunit ribosomal RNA", at positions 109 to 354 of the family's 1533-position model. The record is from RNAcentral.
AGUAAGACGUGGAGAACCUGCCGUAUACUGGGGGAUAACACUUAGAAAUAGGUGCUAAUACCGCAUAAGCGCACAGCUUCGCAUGAAGCGGUGUGAAAAACUCUGGUGGUAUACGAUGGUUCCGCGUCUGAUUAGCUAGUUGGUGGGGUAAUGGCCUACCAAGGCAACGAUCAGUAGCCGGCCUGAGAGGGUGAACGGCCACAUUGGGACUGAGACACGGCCCAAACUCCUACGGGAGGCAGCAG